RNAcentral lists this long non-coding RNA (493 nucleotides) under Parus major (Great Tit). RNAcentral's name for it is "lncRNA (ENSPMJG00000000305.1)". Lineage: Eukaryota; Metazoa; Chordata; Aves; Passeriformes; Paridae. The record is from RNAcentral.
CUCCGCCGCCCGCCCCCGGGGCCGUCCAGGCGGAGGGACCGGGCCGCCUCCGCUCCGCCGGCCCAGGGAGGGAGCAGCGCCGGCCCCGCGGUGCUGCGGCGGACAGCGGCCGGGGAACACCAUCCCAAGGGAGACAGGACCCGACAAAAUUCAGAUUCCAGGACUCUGCUACAUGCAGCUGAAUCAAUGGUGGUGGCAGCAGACCCGUGACACUGUGAGCAGGGAUUCUGCUGAUCUUCUGUGUGCUCAUCAUAUGGGCCUCCAAACUGAGCUGAACUUCUGGAAAGCAAGACAGCAUUUUAAUCAAAAAUUAAACAGUGUUGUGAUGCCAUGAUGCCAGGUGAGUGAAGAAUCCACUUAAUUCCCCAUGUUUUGACCUUUCCAAAGCCUUCAGCCAGCAUGCAUCAGUCUUUAUUUGUCAGUAGGCUUGGGACAUAUUUAUUCAUUAAUUCUCUGAGUGUACUUGUAAGUUCUGUAUUUUUGACUGGCAACC